This 305-nucleotide small nuclear RNA is filed under the name Microtus ochrogaster (prairie vole). RNAcentral describes it as "7SK RNA (ENSMOCG00000005621.1)". It matches the Rfam family "7SK RNA". Rfam says of the family: 7SK was discovered as an abundant small nuclear RNA in the mid-70s but a possible function has only recently been suggested. Two independent studies have found that 7SK RNA binds the CDK9/cyclin T complex (known as elongation factor P-TEFb). P-TEFb activates transcription by phosphorylating the C-terminal domain of RNA polymerase II. Lineage: Eukaryota; Metazoa; Chordata; Mammalia; Rodentia; Cricetidae. The record is from RNAcentral.
GGAUGUGAGGGCAAUGUGCCAUCUGUCAGGAUUGAUUGACUGCUCUGACUGGUUAGGUGGGUAUCCUCUUCUUCCCUCACCACUCCGCGUGUGUCCUUCACCAGACUACACACUCGGGUUGACGAGGACCAUCUUCCUCAAAUAGAGGGGGCCAGUCUUCGGUCAAGGGUAUACAAAUAGCUGUGCUCCCCUGCUAGAACCUCCCAGCACUCUCUCAAGGUGUGUUUCCUGAAUGCAGCAGAAGGAUGGAUCCUUUUUUUUUUCAUCCAUUCUCUUAGUCUGUAUCUUUUUGUUUAGGGAAAUGA